Molecule: long non-coding RNA, 538 nt
Filed under: Populus trichocarpa (black cottonwood)
Lineage: Eukaryota; Viridiplantae; Streptophyta; Magnoliopsida; Malpighiales; Salicaceae
Description: long non-coding RNA (PTRI_LNC001094)
Source: RNAcentral
ACGAAGAGGAGGAUCCUCAGACCCCCCCGUCUCCCAGCCGAAGAGGAGGAUCCUCAGACCUCCCCCGUCGACGAAGAGGAGGAUCCUCAGACCCCCCCGUCUGAGCUAAUAUGUUGCUCAGCCGAAGAGGAGGAUCCUCAGACCCUUGCUCAGACGAAGAGGAGGAUCCUCAGACCCCCCCGUCUGAGCAAAUAUGUUGCUCAGCCGAAGAGGAGGAUCCUCAGACCCCCCCGUCUCCCAGACGAAGAGGAGGAUCCUCAGACCCCCCGUCUGAGCAAAUAUGUUGCUCAGCCGAAGAGGAGGAUCCUCAGACCCCCCCGUCUGAGCUAAUAUGAUGCUCAGCCGAAGAGGAGGAUCCUCAGACCCCCUCGUCUCCGCAAGCUAUUGUGCUCAGACGAAGAGGAGGAUCCUCAGACCCCCCCGUCUGAGCAAAUAUGUUGCUCAGACGAAGAGGAGGAUCCUCAGACCCCCCCGUCUCCCAGCCGAAGAGGAUGCACUCUAGGUGUCGUCUCUCUCAUCUCACAACACAGAAGAGGAC